This 494-nucleotide ribosomal RNA is filed under the name uncultured bacterium. Its description in RNAcentral is "partial 16S ribosomal RNA". It matches the Rfam family "Bacterial small subunit ribosomal RNA", at positions 30 to 506 of the family's 1533-position model. The record is from RNAcentral.
UGAACGCUGGCGGCGUGCCUAAUACAUGCAAGUCGAGCGAACAGACGAGGAGCUUGCUCCUCUGACGUUAGCGGCGGACGGGUGAGUAACACGUGGAUAACCUACCUAUAAGACUGGGAUAACUUCGGGAAACCGGAGCUAAUACCGGAUAAUAUAUUGAACCGCAUGGUUCAAUAGUGAAAGACGGUUUUGCUGUCACUUAUAGAUGGAUCCGCGCCGCAUUAGCUAGUUGGUAAGGUAACGGCUUACCAAGGCGACGAUGCGUAGCCGACCUGAGAGGGUGAUCGGCCACACUGGAACUGAGACACGGUCCAGACUCCUACGGGAGGCAGCAGUAGGGAAUCUUCCGCAAUGGGCGAAAGCCUGACGAAGCAACGCCGCGUGAGUGAUGAAGGUCUUCGGAUCGUAAAACUCUGUUAUUAGGGAAGAACAAAUGUGUAAGUAACUAUGCACGUCUUGACGGUACCUAAUCAGAAAGCCACGGCUAACUACGU